Long non-coding RNA from Aricia agestis (brown argus), 204 nucleotides. RefSeq lists it as uncharacterized. The transcript is spliced from 3 exons. NCBI's taxonomy places the organism in Eukaryota, Metazoa, Arthropoda, Insecta, Lepidoptera, Lycaenidae. The record is from RefSeq and is a predicted model, not a curated record.
UAUUAUCAGUCCAGCCAUGGGCGCUGGCAGGGGGGUGCCAGAGGGUGCACUUGCACCCCUUGGGAAUCUCGGGAUCAACAGGAAUUAUUGAAAUAAAAAGAUUUUGUAACCCUAUCACCAUGCCGUACAAGGAUAGUUCGUAAUGUUUCGGCACUAAAUGUAUUAUGUUGACGUAAAUAGACAACCACUGUUGUUUGUAAAAAG